UAGUAGUCGAGUUACUCUUACACUACUGCACAAUCUCAUCAUUCUUAACCCCUACCACUCUCUCUUUUGUUGUGGUAUGAGUUUUCGUCGAUGACAGUCUAAAAUUGUUAAAUAAUAGAAAAAGAUGAAGAGGGUGAAUGGAAAGGGAACAAAGGAAGAAAAGGAAGAGGGUGAAAUCAUCUACGGCAACUUGAAAUUGAGAAAAGAGAAAAAAAAAAACGGUGAAGGUGAAAGGAAAAGAAAAAAAGAAUUUUCUUUCAACUGGAGCUUCAAAAUGGGCAAGGCUUCGAUGGACAAGAGGGAUAUGUAUUAUCGAAAAGCAGAAGAAGAAAGUUGGAGAGCUAGAAAUGCCUUCCCCCUUCAGAUAGAUGAAGAAUUCAAUAAUUUUGAAGGUAAGAUUCAUAACAGAUCUUCUCUAUGCUCUAAUUACUUCUAAUUAUUUUUAUUGGGCUAAAGUUCACCCAUGACGAGUUAACCUGACUUGAUUGCAUUAACUGUCAAUGAAUAUUUGGAGGGCAGUUGUGGGUGCGCGCACACACACACACAUAUAUAAUGUCUAAAACUGUAUUCCCUCUUGACUAAUUAUGCCAAGAAUGCAGAACUCAGAAGUACAGAAGUGAUUUUCGUUUUUCCUCCUAAAUGGCAAACUCUUCUUCUCUCAUGGAAUCCAUGCAAAGUACGCAACAAAUUGUGUUGAGGAAAAUAAAUAACUACGCUUUAGACGCUGUGGAUCAAUCAAACAAUAGAUUCGUCAAAUUUCGGUUACACAAUUUAUUGUGUUUGAUUUACAACAUUGGCAUGUUUUUUACAACAGUUUUUAUAUCAAAAUGGACUAGAUUAUGUUCGCUUCUUAUUUGUAGGUUUUGAAUCGUAAAUUGUAUCUCCCAGCAAAGUUGUAGGCUCAUUCAGGGUAAUUCUCAUCUUGUGAAUAUUUCUUUCCAGCUUUGGAAGUAAGUUUCAUAUUUGACACUGAUCUUUUUCGCUUCUUUGCCUAUUAAAAAAUGAGGUUGAAUAAUUGCACGUUAUGAAUGCAAUGAAAUCAGUUUUGGUUCUAUGAAAUAACAUGUCUUGGACUAAUUUGCUAUCUCUUGUGUUUGUGUUAAUUUCUGAAUAAAUUUUGAGUUGGAGGCAUUCAGAAAUGCUUUUCAAAGAUAUACUUGAUUCUUGUUCCUAUCCCCCAUUUUGAUAAUUUUUUGAAGCAUCUUUAGAUAGAUCCUCAUUAGUCAUGUAAAAGUCCAGCAUGUGAUAUUUGCAUUUAACAACUCCUUAUCUGAGAACACUCACUAAUGAAAUAUACAAAAGCUUUCUGGAAAAUCUCUACUAUAAGCAUUUGAUAUGAAAGUUUCAUAUAUCUACCACACUCUUAAUUGCAUGAAUAAUUUAACAUCCUUGGUUCAAUAACUUGGCAUAUUGUCAAAAGGAGUUCACAGGUUAUUUAACUAAUCUUAUUUUAAAAUCAUUAAGUGAUAUAAAAUGCACAUAUAAACUCAAUGACUCUGAUACCAAAUGAUACAAACCUUAAGAGAACCACACCUCAAAAGCUAGUUAUUGAGAUUUGAGAGCUCACGACUAUAUAAACCCCAUAUUAGUUGCCCAUGCUUUCCAAUGUGAGAUCCAAGUCUCAUACCUUACACUUGGGAUCCUAAUACAAGACUGACUUGGCUGUGUGUGAUGGUGCUCCUGAUGGUAAAAAUGGCUUUAUGUUUUUGCAGCUACCGUUUUUUAAGGACCAACACCUUACUGCUUUCAGAUCUAUGACAUACUUGCUGUAUUCGAUUGUAUUUUGCAGUAACUGGCCGUCAUGACAUGGAUGAAUUUGUUCGAUCCCAACUCAUACUAGCUGUAAGCCUUUGAAAUUACUUUUUCCUGUUGUGACCUUACCAAAAAGCAGUCGCAAUUCCAGCGUAGAGGCAUUUGCAGUUGGUGAAAUUUAUUCCCCUCCCGAAGGAUUUAAUCCGAAAGACCUCUGCUGUCUUUUGGAAAAGGUUAGAAGCCCCUGGGGAGAAGAUGAUCAUGGUAAGGGUAUGAAUAACAUUGUUUUAUGUUGCGGUUAAUGGGUAGCUUGACUAGUAAAGGCUGUGAAAUCCCAAGUCAAAGAGAGGGCAUUCAUUCGAGACCCAGUGUGAUUGGUCAGGCCUCAGUGUGGGCAACAUUUCCAAGCUUUUAUAAUUUCCAUUUGAGAAUAAGACCCAAAUGCUUGACGCCUUUAGGGGUAAAAUUUCUUUCCCCGUCUUUGUUUCUGUGCAAUACAACAACAGUUGGUAUCCACUGCCGAAAGUUGCAGAAGGAACUUACUACAGCUUGGAUCCUGUACAACCCAAUUACCCCUGCUUAUGAGAGAGCUCUUGGAAUGAAAAAAAUACCUUCCAGUCAAGGUAUCCAAGGGCUUGAAAAGCUUUCCUUGGAUUCUUGAUAAUGACUUUUCCUGUUGCUUUUUCAUUUAUGGGCUAGAAAAUUUUGAGACAAUUAGUUUUGUGAAAAAUCAAGUUAUCAGUGGACACACCAAAAUUGUUCUGAUUGAAAUUAUAUACCUUUACUGUUGUAUAAAAAUAA
Molecule: long non-coding RNA, 2553 nt
Organism: Mangifera indica (mango)
Lineage: Eukaryota; Viridiplantae; Streptophyta; Magnoliopsida; Sapindales; Anacardiaceae
Exons: 5
Source: RefSeq, a predicted model, not a curated record